GCGCACGUCCCUCGGCCCGGAGCAGGAGCGAGGCGUCCACCUCCGCUGUCCCGCGGUUGGACCCUGAGCACACGACGCUCAGGGAGGGAACCAGACACGGGAGGCCACGCGGGGUGUGAGUCCACGCAAAUGGAUUAACCAAGUGCGGUCCAUCCACACGCUGGAAUAUUACUCGGCUUUAAAAAGGAAAGACGUCCUGCUACCUGCCACCGGGUGGACAGAUCCAGAGGACACCAUGUACAGUGACAGAGGCCAGACACAGAAGGACAGCACAGAGCCUGAUGUGGGCCUCGAACUCACAAACUGCAA
Molecule: long non-coding RNA, 309 nt
Organism: Hyaena hyaena (striped hyena)
Lineage: Eukaryota; Metazoa; Chordata; Mammalia; Carnivora; Hyaenidae
Exons: 3
Source: RefSeq, a predicted model, not a curated record